GUCUGCUUGAUUUAUAAAAAAUAACGUCCUGUCGUUUAGCCCAAUACACCAACGUAGUAAACCAGUUCAAUAUUAUUUUGAAUAUAUCUAUUUACAGAAAAUGUCUACCUUGGUUAUAACGCGCCCUAAAGAGAUAAAAAGUUCCCUGCAAAGCCUGGUUUUAAAACGACUUCAGAAUUCUAAAAAUGAAAUAGAUAUGAAAUCGCUGUGGGAAAAAGAGGAAAAAAAAUAUGAGCUUUCGCGCGAUGAAAUAGAGAAAAUUACAGCAAGAAAGAUGCAGAAUAAAAAAGCAGCAAGAAAAAGUCGCGAAAAGUUCAAAAACCGGAUACAAUUACUGGAACAGGAGCACGCUAAGUUAUCUGAAGAAAACGGAAAAUUAAUGGUGGAAAUCAGAAAAUUAAAAGAAGAAAUAAAGAUGGUUAGGCAAAUAAAUAGUUCCUGAUUCACAUAGAGAACCACCUUGUCGUAACCGCUAUCUCUAACAUAUCAAUCCUACCCGUGGCUCUACUACACAGUACACACUAUCGUUGGGAGCGGUGACCCAGAGCCGUCUGUACUUUUGACAGGAGGCGUAAUUAUAUCAACAGAGUGGCACAGGUAGUGCAUAUUCUUGAAACCAUGGAUACGAAUAUUACACUAUCAAAAACAUGCAUUAUGGUCGCGUGUUUGAUUAGUCUACAAAACGUAAUUAGACAAUCAGUUUGUUUCGGCGGACUAUUCUUGUCUUCUUGAUUUAAUAAUCGAAAUACACAAAAAAUGUUUUAACACCAGCUAAUGAAAUAGUACUCUUGUGACCACUGCUUCUGGAUAUACGGGUGGACAUGAUAUGUUAGAGACCGCAAGACUGACUUCAGCAACAGUAAGAUGCAAUACUAUAUAACCCCUAUUUAUACCGGUAUAUGAUAUUAGACACAUAAUAGCUUAUUUCUGUGAUAUCAACGCAUAAUUUAUCAACAUGUAUAUUAUAAAUGCAAAUUAUAUAUUUAUUUAUUAAGUAGUGUGUAAUGUGACGGCAAACAUAGUAGAAAUCCAAAUAUAGAAACUAUCAUUAUAUGAACAUAACCAAAAUAUUACAUUAUAAUGUUCUCCAAUUCAUCGCCACAUAUAUAUUUAGAAUUGAAGAGAGUAUAAGAUCCAUUAUAUGGACAUUAACUCUAAUAUUGCAUAUUACGAAGAAAAACGAUUUUUCAUACCAAUAUCAUAUGGUCAAUCUAUUUAUAUCUAUUAUGUCAGAUGACGUUUUUAAUUUAUUUGUGUAUUAUCAUAUCAUAAUAAUAAAUAAUGUCUUAAAAUAUA
Molecule: long non-coding RNA, 1296 nt
Organism: Patella vulgata (common limpet)
Lineage: Eukaryota; Metazoa; Mollusca; Gastropoda; Patellidae
Exons: 3
Source: RefSeq, a predicted model, not a curated record